RNAcentral lists this long non-coding RNA (624 nucleotides) under Homo sapiens (human). RNAcentral's name for it is "HSALNT0345780". The record is from RNAcentral. Lineage: Eukaryota; Metazoa; Chordata; Mammalia; Primates; Hominidae.
GCUCUUGAGCUACUUGCUUGAGCCUGCUCCCACUCUGUGGAGUAUACUUUCAUUUCAAUAAAUCUGGCUUUUAUUGCUUCAUUCUUUCAUUGCUUUGUUUGUGCAUUUUGUUCAAAACGUCAAGAACUUGGACAAUCUGUAGUCAAGGACCUCCACUGAUAACAGUUCCACAGAUACACGCAAAGACAAAGAACACAGAAAGCACAUCACCCACAAAAUGCAGAGUACUCUGGAAGAUGGAGUCUUGCUUUGUCGCCCAGGCUGGAGUGCAGCGGCACAAUCUCGACUUACUGCAACCUCCACCUCACGGGUUCAAGCGAUUCUGCUGCCUCAGCCACCCCAGGAGCUGGGAUUACGGGUGUCUGCCAUCACCCCUGGGUGAGCACACAGCAAGAAGGUAGCUGUCUGCAAGCUGGGAAGAGAGACCUAACCAAAACUUAACCACGCUGGCACCCUGAUCUCAGAAACUCAGUCUCCAGAACUGUGAGAAAAUAAAUGUCUGUUGUUUAAGCCACGCAGUCUGUGGUAUUUUGUUAUAGAAGACUGACUGAGCAGACUAAUACAAGGAUUUUGUAUUCUGACUGUGUCAUGUGUGACUUUGAGCAAUUAUUCAACUUCGCUGAG